GGACGAACGCUGGCGGCGUGCCUAAUACAUGCAAGUCGAACGGUCUUUCUAUGGAAGCUGCUUCCACUGAGAAGAUAGUGGCGAACGGGUGAGUAACACGUGGGUAACCUGCCCAUAAGAGGGGGGAUAACGAUCCGGAAACGGGUGCUAAUACCGCAUAGUUUUCUUGAUCGCAUGAUCGGGAAAGGAAAGACGGCCUUUGUGCUGUCGCUUAUGGAUGGACCCGCGGCGUAUUAGUUAGUUGGUGAGGUAACGGCUCACCAAGACGAUGAUACGUAGCCGACCUGAGAGGGUGAUCGGCCACAUUGGGACUGAGACACGGCCCAAACUCCUACGGGAGGCAGCAGUAGGGAAUCUUCCGCAAUGGACGAAAGUCUGACGGAGCAACGCCGCGUGAGUGAAGAAAGGUUUUCGGAUCGUAAAACUCUGUUGUCAGAGAAGAACAAGUUGGAGAGUAACUGCUCCAGCCUUGACGGUAUCUGACCAGAAAGCCACGGCUAACUACGUGCCAGCAGCGGC
Molecule: ribosomal RNA, 519 nt
Filed under: uncultured bacterium
Lineage: Bacteria
Description: bacterial SSU rRNA
Rfam family: Bacterial small subunit ribosomal RNA
Source: RNAcentral